This 253-nucleotide ribosomal RNA is filed under the name uncultured bacterium. RNAcentral's name for it is "partial 16S ribosomal RNA". It matches the Rfam family "Bacterial small subunit ribosomal RNA", at positions 524 to 776 of the family's 1533-position model. The record is from RNAcentral.
UACAGAGGUGGCAAGCGUUGUUCGGAAUUACUGGGCGUAAAGGGCGCGUAGGCGGCCUACUAAGUCAGACGUGAAAUCCCCCGGCUUAACCUGGGAACUGCGUCUGAUACUGGAAGGCUUGAGGAUGGGAGAGGGAUGUAGAAUUCCAGGUGUAGCGGUGAAAUGCGUAGAUAUCUGGAGGAACACCGGUGGCGAAGGCGGCAUCCUGGACCGGUAUUGACGCUGAGGCGCGAAAGCUAGGGGAGCAAACGGG